Molecule: ribosomal RNA, 781 nt
Filed under: uncultured Veillonellaceae bacterium
Lineage: Bacteria; Bacillati; Bacillota; Negativicutes; Veillonellales; Veillonellaceae
Description: bacterial SSU rRNA
Rfam family: Bacterial small subunit ribosomal RNA
Source: RNAcentral
UUGCUCCCUUGAAGUUAGUGGCGAACGGGUGAGUAACGCGUAAUCAACCUGCCCUUCAGAGGGGGAUAACAACGGGAAACCGUUGCUAAUACCGCGUACGAUUCAUAGACGGCAUCGUUUGUGAAUGAAAGGUGGCCUCUAUUUAUAAGCUAUCGCUGAAGGAGGGGAUUGCGUCUGAUUAGCUAGUUGGAGGGGUAACGGCCCACCAAGGCAAUGAUCAGUAGCCGGUCUGAGAGGAUGAACGGCCACAUUGGGACUGAGACACGGCCCAAACUCCUACGGGAGGCAGCAGUGGGGAAUCUUCCGCAAUGGACGAAAGUCUGACGGAGCAACGCCGCGUGAGUGAUGAAGGUCUUCGGAUUGUAAAGCUCUGUUAAUCGGGACGAAAGAGUUCUGUGUAAAUAAUGCAGAAAAGUGACGGUACCGGAAUAGGAAGCCACGGCUAACUACGUGCCAGCAGCCGCGGUAAUACGUAGGUGGCAAGCGUUGUCCGGAAUUAUUGGGCGUAAAGCGCGCGCAGGCGGCCUAUCCAGUCUGUCUUAAAAGUUCGGGGCUCAACCCCGUGAUGGGAUGGAAACUAGUAGGCUAGAGUAUCGGAGAGGAAAGCGGAAUUCCUAGUGUAGCGGUGAAAUGCGUAGAUAUUAGGAAGAACAUCAGUGGCGAAGGCGGCUUUCUGGACGAAAACUGACGCUGAGGCGCGAAAGCCAGGGGAGCGAACGGGAUUAGAUACCCCGGUAGUCCUGGCCGUAAACGAUGGGUACUAAGUGUAGGAGGUAUCGAC